AUGGAGGCAUCAGGCAGCGGUGUAUUUGCUUCCGUACUCACAUGGCUCACCAGAUAUGCCUUGCCGGCGAUCAUCAACGAGCUUUCAGGGGGGAAGAGCUGUGUGAACCAGGUAGCAGAAAAUGAAUCUGAAGACACUGCAGAUUUGGUGGUGUCCUACGGAUCAUUUGAGAGCUCCUUCUCGAACGUCGCUGGAUUGGUCUCAGAUGAAGAUGAAUCAUAUGAAGAGCAGCCGCGCUUGCAGGCUUACAUGGAGGCGGAUCAUGGUGGUGAAGAAAGGACUGGCGACUAUGAUCCAUUUGGAGCCGCAGGGACUGAAGACCUGAAUGCCCUUGUUGGUGAAGAGGGAGAAGAUGGAGACAGAGGGGAACGAAUCUUCGGGAGGAAGGGACGAUGGGUUUGCCACAAUAAAUGCCUUAGUUGGAUGGAUCCCGUUAGAUGA
This 441-nucleotide ribosomal RNA is filed under the name Triticum aestivum (bread wheat). Its description in RNAcentral is "partial small subunit ribosomal RNA". Lineage: Eukaryota; Viridiplantae; Streptophyta; Magnoliopsida; Poales; Poaceae. The record is from RNAcentral.